Molecule: ribosomal RNA, 253 nt
Filed under: uncultured bacterium
Lineage: Bacteria
Description: partial 16S ribosomal RNA
Rfam family: Bacterial small subunit ribosomal RNA
Source: RNAcentral
UACGUAGGGGGCAAGCGUUGUCCGGAAUCAUUGGGCGUAAAGAGCGUGUAGGCGGCUUGGUAAGUCCGCUGUGAAAGUCCAGGGCUCAACCCUGGAAAGCCGGUGGAAACUGUCAAGCUUGAGUCCGGAAGAGGCGAGUGGAAUUCCUGGUGUAGCGGUGAAAUGCGCAGAUAUCGAGAGGAACACCAGUGGCGAAGGCGAGUCCCUGGACAGGUCCUGACGCUGAGGCACGAAAGCUAGGGGAGCAAACAGG